UACAGAGGUCCCAAGCGUUGUUCGGAUUUACUGGGCGUAAAGGGUGCGUAGGUGGCGGGCUAAGUCUGGUGUGAAAGCUCCGAGCUCAACUCGGAAAAGCAUUGGAAACUAUCCCGCUGGAGGGUCGGAGGGGAGACUGGAAUUCUCGGUGUAGCAGUGAAAUGCGUAGAUAUCGAGAGGAACACCAGUGGCGAAGGCGAGUCUCUGGACGACUCCUGACACUGAGGCACGAAAGCUAGGGGAGCAAACAGG
Molecule: ribosomal RNA, 252 nt
Filed under: uncultured bacterium
Lineage: Bacteria
Description: partial 16S ribosomal RNA
Rfam family: Bacterial small subunit ribosomal RNA
Source: RNAcentral